Molecule: long non-coding RNA, 1910 nt
Organism: Numida meleagris (helmeted guineafowl)
Lineage: Eukaryota; Metazoa; Chordata; Aves; Galliformes; Numididae
Exons: 2
Source: RefSeq, a predicted model, not a curated record
CCCGGCCCGGCCGCAGAGCCGCCCGCUCGCGGUGCCUACUCACCACAGCUUCCUCUUUAAGGGCAUCAGACUGCCCCUGUUGGAGGCGGUCACCCCUAUGGCCAUCUGCAAGACAGUCAGAUGAAAAGCCUGUUUUUAAAAGGAGUCAGUCAGCAGCUUCCAGAUUAGGGUAAGCACCCAGAUAUCCCACUGUUAUCUCUGACCCUUUAGCUGAGCUAAGGCCAUAAUUUAUACAGUAGAUAUCUCCUGCCCAAGAGCGAGAUACACUCUUCUUCACUACAGAAAGCUGAAAACUUUUUACACUUUUUGAACCUAGCAUACAUUUAAAAUAAUUAAUGUCCUAUUUCAUUACUUCCAUUUAAAAUAGUUGAUUAAUUGUGUUGGUUUUUUUCAGUACAAAACCAUGCAGAGCCAUAAUGGUUUCUUAAUUUUAUUGGUAACUUAACUGCAGAUUUUGUUUUAGAACAAACUCUGUAAUACGUCUGUUCCUUACAAUCCCCGAUGCCCCUGUUUCUUCUGAAGCCCGUCUGUGCUUUGACUUUCUAAUGCACUUCUUGCCUCCAGAAGAACAGCCCACUUGUUCAGAAAGUUACGACGUUAGUAUGACUGCUACACCUGAGUAGAUGUGUGGCUGGCCCAAAUUCCGCUUGUGAUAGUACGUUUAUACUAGCAUAGUGAGUCAUGUAGCAGAUAGAUGGACAGGCCCUGAGGAGGAGGAGAUUAAUGCCAGCAUGUGUGAGCUGAUCUUGACUCAUGCAUUGGUGUUUGUAGGAAAGUAGGCUGUUGUCAACAGUGGGAAACAGACUGGUGGCAACUGAGAGCAUGCUAUUGAUGCAGCUGUAUGUUGGGAGCUCCCAUCAGCUGCAAAGCAGAUAAGAAUCAUAGAAUUAUGAAAUCAUAGAGUGGUUUGGGUUGGAAGGGACAUUUAAGAUCAGCUAGUUCCAACCCCCUUGCUAUAGGCAGGGACACGUCCCACUAGACCAGGUUGUUCAGAGUCCCAUCCAUGAUAAUAAGGGAAUGUAACAAUGUCCUAACACUGAUUUCAUCCUAAACUACAUCAGUCAUUUUUUUCAAUCUUAAUAUUGUCAGAACAGGAGACUGCAGGUAGUGCAAAGCAAGACUUUUCAGUAUUAUCUACUUCUGCUGAGUUUGUGUUCAAUUUAAGUAAGCCCAUCUUUCUGGCCAUGUAGUGCCAGUUAUCAUUAGCUGCCAUCCUUUCCAAACUCUCACCUGUGUCACUUAGUCUUGACUGAACUCACAGAAGGUGGAGAAAUUUAGGUCUGACUCAAAAGACUCUAUGGAAACAUUACAGAAAUGCAGUUUUUAAAGUUUGGGCUGCAGGAAAUUGUUUUCUGCAGUGGGGAGAGGAAAAAGAAGCUAUGUAUGUAACUGCCUUAGCUGUGCUGGCAAACAAGCAAAAAUACCAGUUUUUGCUCAUUUAACUUUUUUUUUUUUAGCAAGCCUGUAUAAGCUACACUGUCUGGCAAAAAUAAAUAAAUAAAUAUUUUACUAGAAUAAAUGGCAUCCUUAUUGGUGCUGUAGUCACUACAUCAGCAUUUUUGAGGGUAGAUUAGGCCUUAAUAAUAGAUUUUGAGCAGUCAAGUGCAUUCAUUUUUGAGGUUGUCAAAAUCAUAUUUGAGCUAAAGCAGAUGCUAAAUAAACUUGUUGCUGGUUUUAUGGCAUAUUAAUCUUUUAUUAAUCUUUUAUUUGCAUUUUAGAAUAGCCUUAACCUGAGCUUUAGUCUGUAUAAAAAAGGGAUUUUUCAUAACAUUACGUCAUCCAUUCCUUCUGUAUUUCAAUACUGUUGCUACAGUGUCGAUGGAAGAAUCAACAUUUUGUUUGUUAGAAUAUAUCUGUUCUCCUUGCUGACUUUUACUCUAAUGAUUGAUUAAAAAAUCUUGAGAUAUGCA